AACGGUCUAUACCUGCGGUACCUGCGGAGGGAUCAAUAACAGGAGGAUUGGUGAGGGGAUUGGCGGGCGAUCAUGGUGUCACGAUGACGUUGCAUGAUGGUGUCGUGAUGACGUUGCAUGAUGCUGUCGUGAUGACGUUGCAUGAGAUGAUGUCGUGAUGACGUUGCAUGAGAUGAUGUCGUGAUGCUGUGAUGUCGCCGUUCCACCACGUUUACGCUUGAUUGUUUGACAGAGAACGUU
RNAcentral lists this unclassified non-coding RNA (240 nucleotides) under soil metagenome. RNAcentral describes it as "partial contains 5.8S ribosomal RNA, internal transcribed spacer 2, and large subunit ribosomal RNA". The record is from RNAcentral.